This 492-nucleotide ribosomal RNA is filed under the name uncultured bacterium. RNAcentral describes it as "partial 16S ribosomal RNA". It matches the Rfam family "Bacterial small subunit ribosomal RNA", at positions 29 to 507 of the family's 1533-position model. The record is from RNAcentral.
AGUGAACGCUGGCGGUAGGCCUAACACAUGCAAGUCGAACGGCAGCACAGUAAGAGCUUGCUCUUACGGGUGGCGAGUGGCGGACGGGUGAGGAAUACAUCGGAAUCUACUUUUUCGUGGGGGAUAACGUAGGGAAACUUACGCUAAUACCGCAUACGCCCUACGGGUGAAAGCAGGGGAUCUUCUGACCUUGCGCGAUUGAAUGAGCCGAUGUCGGAUUAGCUAGUUGGCGGGGUAAAGGCCCACCAAGGCGACGAUCCGUAGCUGGUCUGAGAGGAUGAUCAGCCACACUGGAACUGAGACACGGUCCAGACUCCUACGGGAGGCAGCAGUGGGGAAUAUUGGACAAUGGGCGCAAGCCUGAUCCAGCCAGACCGCGUGGGUGAAGAAGGCCUUCGGGUUGUAAAGACCUUUUGUUGGGAAAGAAAAGCAGCAGGUUAAGACCCCGCUGUUCUGACGGUACCCAAAGAAUAAGCACCGGCUAACUUCGUG